This 73-nucleotide transfer RNA is filed under the name Felis catus (domestic cat). It matches the Rfam family "tRNA". Rfam says of the family: Transfer RNA (tRNA) molecules are approximately 80 nucleotides in length. Their secondary structure includes four short double-helical elements and three loops (D, anti-codon, and T loops). The record is from Rfam by way of RNAcentral. Lineage: Eukaryota; Metazoa; Chordata; Mammalia; Carnivora; Felidae.
GCCUAGCAGGCUAAGUUGGUAGAGCGUGAGACUCUUGAUCUUGGGGUGGUGAGAUCGAGCCCCGUGUUGGGCC